RNAcentral lists this ribosomal RNA (265 nucleotides) under uncultured bacterium. Its description in RNAcentral is "partial 16S ribosomal RNA". It matches the Rfam family "Bacterial small subunit ribosomal RNA", at positions 524 to 792 of the family's 1533-position model. The record is from RNAcentral.
UACAGAGGGUGCGAACGUUGCUCGGAAUUACUGGGCGUAAAGCGCGUGUAGGCGGGACGAUAAGUCGGAAGUGAAAUCCCCGGGCUCAACCCGGGAACUGCUUUCGAAACUGCCGUCCUCGAGUAUCGGAGAGGGUGGCGGAAUUCCUGGUGUAGAGGUGAAAUUCGUAGAUAUCAGGAGGAACACCGGUGGCGAAGGCGGCCACCUGGACGAUUACUGACGCUGAGACGCGAAAGCGUGGGGAGCAAACAGGAUUAGAACCGUA